Molecule: transfer RNA, 74 nt
Filed under: Deltaproteobacteria bacterium
Lineage: Bacteria; Pseudomonadati; Myxococcota; Myxococcia
Description: tRNA-Arg
Rfam family: tRNA
About the family: Transfer RNA (tRNA) molecules are approximately 80 nucleotides in length. Their secondary structure includes four short double-helical elements and three loops (D, anti-codon, and T loops).
Source: RNAcentral
GCUCCCGUAGCUCAGCUGGAUAGAGCAACGGCCUUCUAAGCCGUGGGUCCCUGGUUCAAAUCCAGGCGGGGGCG